This 253-nucleotide ribosomal RNA is filed under the name uncultured bacterium. RNAcentral's name for it is "partial 16S ribosomal RNA". It matches the Rfam family "Bacterial small subunit ribosomal RNA", at positions 524 to 776 of the family's 1533-position model. The record is from RNAcentral.
UACGUAGGGUGCAAGCGUUGUCCGGAACUAUUGGGCGUAAAGAGCUCGUAGGCGGUCUGUCGCGUCGGCUGUGAAAACUCGGGGCUCAACUCCGAGCUUGCAGUCGAUACGGGCAGGCUAGAGUUCGGCAGGGGAGACUGGAAUUCCUGGUGUAGCGGUGAAAUGCGCAGAUAUCAGGAGGAACACCGGUGGCGAAGGCGGGUCUCUGGGCCGAUACUGACGCUGAGGAGCGAAAGCGUGGGGAGCGAACAGG